UCGGUGCCGGGAAAGUUAAACGCCAUUUUAAGUUGCCCCCCGCCCUGGGGGGAGCACCGGGCCCGCAAGGGCUAAAAAAAUUCAAAAGGAAAUUGGCGGGGGCCCCGCACAAAUGCGGGGGGAGCCUUUUGUCUUUAAUUUGAAGGCAACCGCGAAGAACCUUACCAGGGCUUCACCCUAACCCGGAAAGCAUCAGAGAAUGUGCCCCCCCUUGUGUUCGGUGUACAGGGUGGUGCAUGUCUGUCGUCAGCUCGUUUUGUGAGAUGCUCGGUUAAGUCCCGCAACGAGCGCAACCCUUUCCCGUGUUGCCAGCAACUUUUCGGAGGUUGGGGACUCACGGGAGACCGCCGGGGUCAUCUCGGAGGAAGGUGGGGACGACGUCAAGUCAUCAUGCCCCUUAUGUCUUGGGCUGCACACGUGCUACAAUGGCCGGUACAAUGAGCUGCGAUACCGCAAGGUGGAGCGAAUCUCAAAAAGCCGGUCUCAGUUCGGAUUGGGGUCUGCAACUCGACCCCAUGAAGUCGGAGUCGCUAGUAAUCGCAGAUCAGCAUUGUUGCGGUGAAUACGUUCCCGGGCCUUGUACACACCGCCCUUCACGUGGGAGAAAGUCGGUAACACCCGAAG
RNAcentral lists this ribosomal RNA (624 nucleotides) under Streptomyces sp. Its description in RNAcentral is "partial 16S ribosomal RNA". It matches the Rfam family "Bacterial small subunit ribosomal RNA", at positions 875 to 1426 of the family's 1533-position model. Lineage: Bacteria; Bacillati; Actinomycetota; Actinomycetes; Kitasatosporales; Streptomycetaceae. The record is from RNAcentral.